RNAcentral lists this ribosomal RNA (498 nucleotides) under uncultured bacterium. RNAcentral's name for it is "partial 16S ribosomal RNA". It matches the Rfam family "Bacterial small subunit ribosomal RNA", at positions 28 to 523 of the family's 1533-position model. The record is from RNAcentral.
GAUGAACGCUAGCGGCAGGCCUAAUACAUGCAAGUCGGACGGGAUUGAGAAGCUUGCUUUUCAUGAGAGUGGCGCACGGGUGCGUAACACGUAUGUAACCUACCCAUAUCAGGGGGAUAGCCUCUCGAAAGAGAGAUUAAGACCGCAUAACAUUAUUGAAUGGCAUCAUUUAAUAAUCAAAUAUUUAUAGGAUAUGGGUGGGCAUGCGGAACAUUAGCUAGUUGGUAAGGUAACGGCUUACCAAGGCUACGAUGUUUAGGGGAUCUGAGAGGAUGACCCCCCACACUGGUACUGAGACACGGACCAGACUCCUACGGGAGGCAGCAGUAAGGAAUAUUGGUCAAUGGACGGAAGUCUGAACCAGCCAUGCCGCGUGCAGGAAGACGGCCCUAUGGGUUGUAAACUGCUUUUGCAGGGGAAUAAACCUCGAUACGUGUAUCGAGCUGAAUGUACUCUGAGAAUAAGGAUCGGCUAACUCCGUGCCAGCAGCCGCCGUAA